Molecule: ribosomal RNA, 253 nt
Filed under: uncultured bacterium
Lineage: Bacteria
Description: partial 16S ribosomal RNA
Rfam family: Bacterial small subunit ribosomal RNA
Source: RNAcentral
UACGGGGGGGGCAAGCGUUGUUCGGAAUUACUGGGCGUAAAGGGCUCGUAGGCGGCCAACUAAGUCCGACGUGAAAUCCCUCGGCUUAACCGGGGAACUGCGUCCGAUACUGGAUGGCUUGAGUUUGGGAGAGGGAUGCGGAAUUCCAGGUGUAGCGGUGAAAUGCGUAGAUAUCUGGAGGAACACCGGUGGCGAAGGCGGCAUCCUGGACCAACACUGACGCUGAUGAGCGAAAGCCAGGGGAGCAAACGGG